CCUACGGGCGGCAGCAGUGAGGAAUAUUGGUCAAUGGCCGCAGGGCUGAACCAGCCAAGUCGCGUGAGGGAUGACGGUCCUAUGGAUUGUAAACCUCUUUUGUCAGGGAGCAAAGGGCGCCACGUGUGGCGCUUUGCGAGUACCUGAAGAAAAAGCAUCGGCCAACUCCGUGCCAGCAGCCGCGGUAAUACGGAGGAUGCGAGCGUUAUCCGGAUUUAUUGGGUUUAAAGGGUGCGCAGGCGGAAUGUCAAGUCAGCGGUAAAAUUUCGGGGCUCAACCCCGUCGUGCCGUUGAAACUGGGGUUCUUGAGUGAGCGAGAAGUAUGCGGAAUGCGUGGUGUAGCGGUGAAAUGCAUAGAUAUCACGCAGAACUCCGAUUGCGAAGGCAGCAUACCGGCGCUCAACUGACGCUCAUGCACGAAAGCGUGGGUAUCGAACAGGAUUAGAUACCCGAGUAGUC
RNAcentral lists this ribosomal RNA (459 nucleotides) under uncultured bacterium. RNAcentral describes it as "partial 16S ribosomal RNA". It matches the Rfam family "Bacterial small subunit ribosomal RNA", at positions 338 to 795 of the family's 1533-position model. The record is from RNAcentral.